UACGUAGGGUCCGAGCGUUGUCCGGAGUUACUGGGCGUAAAGCGCGCGCAGGCGGCGGUGUUGGCCCGGCGUGAAAGCCCCCGGCUCAACCGGGGAGAGUCGUCGGGGACCGCACCGCUUGAGGGCGGUAGGGGCUGGUGGAAUGCCUGGUGUAGUGGUGAAAUGCGUAGAGAUCAGGCAGAACACCUGGGGCGAAGGCGGCCAGCUGGGCCGCCCCUGACGCUGAGGCGCGAAGGCGUGGGGAGCGAACGGG
RNAcentral lists this ribosomal RNA (253 nucleotides) under uncultured bacterium. RNAcentral's name for it is "partial 16S ribosomal RNA". It matches the Rfam family "Bacterial small subunit ribosomal RNA", at positions 524 to 776 of the family's 1533-position model. The record is from RNAcentral.